This 441-nucleotide ribosomal RNA is filed under the name uncultured bacterium. RNAcentral describes it as "bacterial SSU rRNA". It matches the Rfam family "Bacterial small subunit ribosomal RNA", at positions 338 to 795 of the family's 1533-position model. The record is from RNAcentral.
CCUACGGGGGGCUGCAGUCGAGAAUCUUCCGCAAUGCGCGAAAGCGUGACGGAGCAAUGCCGCGUGCCGGAUGAAGGUCUUCGGAUUGUAAACGGCUGUCACUGGGGACGAAUUAUGACUGUACCCGGAGAGGAAGCCACGGCUAACUACGUGCCAGCAGCCGCGGUAAUACGUAGGUGGCGAGCGUUGUUCGGAUUUAUUGGGCGUAAAGGGUCCGCAGGGGGUUGAUUAAGUCUGAUGUGAAAUCUCACGGCUCAACUGUGAAACUGCAUUGGAGACUGGUCAACUAGAGCAUCGGAGAGGAGAGCGGAAUUCCUGGUGUAGCGGUGGAAUGCGUAGAUAUCAGGAAGAACACCAAAAGCGAAGGCAGCUCUCUGGACGAUUGCUGACCCUCAGGGACGAAAGCGUGGGGAGCAAACAGGCUUAGAUACCCUAGUAGUC